CAUGAUCAAUAUCAAUACAUAUCAAAAUGUCAUCAUUAAAAUUUGAUAAUUUCAAACUAAACAUAAAAUCUAGAUUAAAAUUUUGAGAAAUCCUUUUGAACUUCUGACUUUACUUCCCAUAUUUCAAAAUCUAGAAUUUCAUUCCUAGAAUUCGAUAUUAUCACAAUAAACAUAAACAUAAAAUCUAAUAUACAUUUUUGAGCAAUCAUUUUGAACUAUUUAGCGACCCUUAAAUCUUUGUGUAGGAUCAGUGAGGAACUUAAACACUUUCUCAGCUGAUAGAGGAACCUAAACACUUUCUCAAUAGAGAUCCUGAUGCCUCCAAUGCUAUCUUGAAUUAUCUUUGGAAAUCCCAAGUUACUUGAAAUGGUUAAACAUUCACAGAACAUCUUAACCAUUCAAUGAGAAAGCAUCAACACACUCUUCAUUACACACUUUGUUUCUGUUUUUCUAUCUUUAAUGUGCUUCACUGCUCCAUCUAAAGUUUCGCGAAAAAGACCAUACGAGAAGCCAUUGUUGUGUAACGCUUGUGGAUUGCAUUUCAAGUCUAAAGAACCCUUGAAAACUAUAUCCCGAAGAUAGCCCAGCAAAAUCUGUUAGUGGUUGCAGAAUCUACCUGCCAAAGAAAUUAAAAUCAAAGCAUCUUAGUACUCCAAAAAUAAAAUAAAAAAUCAAUGCGACACCUAGGUGAUUGUAUAAGUAAUGCAUAAUAUCAAGAGACUUUAAUGUGAUUGUAUUAGUAUCUAUUGUUAUGGAUUAGGUAUUUUUAAUUGAGACGAGAUGAUUAGAUUUUACAACAUUUAAUUAGCAGCAAUGACAUGCACCACCCAAUUCGAAAAGAAAAACAAGAUCAAGAUCAGCAGUUCAACACAAUCCGAAUUAAAAAAAUGAAAUAAAGCGACUAAUAACCAUGUAAACGAUAACUAUAUACUUGAUCAGAAUCAAUAAAUAUCGAAAUAUUGAAUGUUUGCACUACAAUUAGAUAAAUUAACAAUUCGAAACAUAAAAUCUAACGUAAAUCAAAUUUAUGAGUACCAUUUUGAUCGAUCUGUCCUAUUGACCUUCAGACUUGAAUCCCAUCCAGUUUGCUUUUUUAAUCAAAGAAAUCACACUCGUUGACGAUGAAAUCAUGAUCAAGGACGAGCAUCAGGUCACAAUGAACCUGCAACAAGUUGUUCCAGAAAAAAAUUAAAAUAAGAACACGGAAGUAAUAAAAUGGUUUGGCAGAAAUGACAAUGAAUAGAUGCAAUCAGAUCCAAUUCACAUACCUGUGUGUAGUUAAACCAAGAGAACGUUCUGUCUACAUUUGGUUGAAAUGAUUGACAGCAGAUAAUAAUGUGAAG
This 1343-nucleotide long non-coding RNA is filed under the name Medicago truncatula (barrel medic). RNAcentral describes it as "long non-coding RNA (MTRU_LNC006084)". Lineage: Eukaryota; Viridiplantae; Streptophyta; Magnoliopsida; Fabales; Fabaceae. The record is from RNAcentral.